Molecule: transfer RNA, 74 nt
Filed under: bacterium HR32
Lineage: Bacteria
Description: tRNA-Arg
Source: RNAcentral
CUGUGGAUGGUCCAGCGGGUGUACUUCGGGCCUCCGAGGCCGGAGGUCCAGCGGUUCGCGCCGCUUUCGCUGCC